This is a long non-coding RNA of Agrilus planipennis (emerald ash borer), 658 nucleotides long. RefSeq lists it as uncharacterized. The record is from RefSeq and is a predicted model, not a curated record. The transcript is spliced from 4 exons. Lineage: Eukaryota; Metazoa; Arthropoda; Insecta; Coleoptera; Buprestidae.
GUUUUUUCUCUAUUUCUAUAGAUUGAACAUGAAUGAGAGAGGGCUUUUAGUUAAUUAAGGAACAUUACAAAAAUCUGUGAUACCAUUUAAUUACCAAGCACUGAUUGUAUUUCAUUCUUUCUGGAAAGUAGCUGUGUAUAUGGUCCUAAAGAAAACAAGAAAGUGCCUUUUCUUUCAUUGGGGACAGACAGUGUGUCGUUGCUAAAGAAAGAACUGGUAAGUAACAGUAUCAAUUAAAAAUAUUAAAUGUGGUGUCAGAAACUUCAAUUUCUUAAAUACUUACUUUCAGUGGGCUUAGUUUUAGAAAUGGCAGAAGCAGAUUAGCAAAAUUAAUGUAAAACUGAGUUUUCCAAUAGUUUUAAAAGUUGGCAUAAUACAAUUUAUUUAUACGUAUAUUUUAAUAAGAGAGUUAGUAGGUAUGGGAAGAUCGUCCAAUAAAUGAGAACGAAUUGCAGUUAAUUUUGAUGCUAAUGAAAGAACUGAUGCUUUUAAAAUUUCACCUUGCAUCAUUGGAUCAGAGAAGCUGAAGAUUAAUUUGGAAACCAUUAAAAUAACUGCAGUGUAUUUGGUUUGGUAAUCACGUGCAGACUAGAACGCCACAUUAUGUAGUUAAUUAAGAUCGACGGUGGAGAAGACAAAGAAGACCCUCGUAGUUAAA